UCGCUACCUGGUGACAGGAUGCCAAUCUCAAAAUCCGGUCUUAGUUCGGAUUGGAGUCUGUAACCCGACUCCAUGAAGUUGGAUUCGCUAGUAAUCGCGCAUCAGCCAUGGCGCGGUGAAUACGUUCCCGGGUCUUGUACACACCGCCCGUCACACCAUGGGAGUCGGAAAUGCCCGAAGUCAGUGACCUAACCGAAAGGGAGGAGCUGCCGAAGGUGGAGCCGGUAACUGGGGUGAAGUCGUAACAAGGUAGC
Molecule: ribosomal RNA, 254 nt
Filed under: uncultured bacterium
Lineage: Bacteria
Description: partial 16S ribosomal RNA
Rfam family: Bacterial small subunit ribosomal RNA
Source: RNAcentral